This 1333-nucleotide ribosomal RNA is filed under the name Nocardia sp. 01-Gi-033. RNAcentral's name for it is "16S ribosomal RNA". It matches the Rfam family "Bacterial small subunit ribosomal RNA", at positions 91 to 1437 of the family's 1533-position model. The record is from RNAcentral. Lineage: Bacteria; Bacillati; Actinomycetota; Actinomycetes; Mycobacteriales; Nocardiaceae.
ACGAGCGGCGAACGGGUGAGUAACACGUGGGUGAUCUGCCUUGCACUUCGGGAUAAGCCUGGGAAACUGGGUCUAAUACCGGAUAUGACCACUGAUCGCAUGGUCGGUGGUGGAAAGAUUUAUCRRUGCGAGAUGGGCCCGCGGCCUAUCAGCUUGUUGGUGAGGUAACGGCUCACCAAGGCGACGACGGGUAGCCGACCUGAGAGGGUGACCGGCCACACUGGGACUGAGACACGGCCCAGACUCCUACGGGAGGCAGCAGUGGGGAAUAUUGCACAAUGGGCGAAAGCCUGAUGCAGCGACGCCGCGUGCGGGAUGACGGCCUUCGGGUUGUAAACCGCUUUUGACAGGGACGAAGCGCAAGUGACUGUACCUGUAGAAUAAGGACCGGCCAACUACGUGCCAGCAGCCGCGGUAAUACGUAGGGUCCGAGCGUUGUCCGGAAUUACUGGGCGUAAAGAGCUUGUAGGCGGUUCGUCGCGUCGUUUGUGAAAACUUGGGGCUCAACCUUAAGCUUGCAGGCGAUACGGGCGGACUAGAGUACUUCAGGGGAGACUGGAAUUCCUGGUGUAGCGGUGAAAUGCGCAGAUAUCAGGAGGAACACCGGUGGCGAAGGCGGGUCUCUGGGAAGUAACUGACGCUGAGAAGCGAAAGCAUGGGUAGCAAACAGGAUUAGAUACCCUGGUAGUCCAUGCCGUAAACGGUGGGUACUAGGUGUGGGGCUCCUUCCACGGACUCCGUGCCGUAGCUAACGCAUUAAGUACCCCGCCUGGGGAGUACGGCCGCAAGGCUAAAACUCAAAGAAAUUGACGGGGGCCCGCACAAGCGGCGGAGCAUGUGGAUUAAUUCGAUGCAACGCGAAGAACCUUACCUGGGUUUGACAUACACCGGAAACCUGCAGAGAUGUAGGCCCCCUUGUGGUCGGUGUACAGGUGGUGCAUGGCUGUCGUCAGCUCGUGUCGUGAGAUGUUGGGUUAAGUCCCGCAACGAGCGCAACCCUUAUCUUAUGUUGCCAGCGCGUAAUGGCGGGGACUCGUGAGAGACUGCCGGGGUCAACUCGGAGGAAGGUGGGGACGACGUCAAGUCAUCAUGCCCCUUAUGUCCAGGGCUUCACACAUGCUACAAUGGCCGGUACAGAGGGCUGCGAUACCGCGAGGUGGAGCGAAUCCCUUAAAGCCGGUCUCAGUUCGGAUCGGGGUCUGCAACUCGACCCCGUGAAGUUGGAGUCGCUAGUAAUCGCAGAUCAGCAACGCUGCGGUGAAUACGUUCCCGGGCCUUGUACACACCGCCCGUCACGUCAUGAAAGUCGGUAACACCCGAAGCCGGUGGCCUA